This 222-nucleotide long non-coding RNA is filed under the name Phoenix dactylifera (date palm). Its description in RNAcentral is "long non-coding RNA (PDAC_LNC009322)". The record is from RNAcentral. Lineage: Eukaryota; Viridiplantae; Streptophyta; Magnoliopsida; Arecales; Arecaceae.
UCCUUCCUCCUCUCCGACGACGAGCGACCGACCGACCCUUGUCCUCUCCGGCGCCGAGCGACGUCCGACGCCAAGCUCCUCUCGUCCUCUCUCCUCUCCGGCGCCGAGCGACCGUCCGCAUCCUCCUCUCUCGUCUCCGGCGCCGAGCGACCGGCCACCAGUACGGACACCGCUUCAAGAGCUCAAAAAGCGAAGAGGCUCCGGACCAUCUACGACAAGCUC